RNAcentral lists this unclassified non-coding RNA (253 nucleotides) under uncultured Bacteroidota bacterium. RNAcentral's name for it is "uncultured Bacteroidetes bacterium contains 16S-23S intergenic spacer region". It matches the Rfam family "Bacterial small subunit ribosomal RNA", at positions 524 to 776 of the family's 1533-position model. Lineage: Bacteria; Pseudomonadati; Bacteroidota. The record is from RNAcentral.
UACGGAGGGUGCAAGCGUUGUCCGGAAUCACUGGGUGUAAAGGGUGUGUAGGCGGACCUGCAAGUCAGAGGUGAAAUCCCGCAGCCUAACUGCGGAACUGCCCCUGAUACUGCAGGUCUUGAGUCCUGGAGAGGUCGCUGGAAUUCGUGGUGUAGCGGUGAAAUGCGUAGAUAUCACGAGGAACGCCUGAGACGAAGGUGGGCGACUGGACAGGUACUGACGCUGAGGCACGAAAGCGUGGGGAGCAAACAGG